CUUGGCAAGUUCGAGCGGACAGAAGGGAGCUUGCUCCCGGAUGUUAGCGGCGGACGGGUGAGUAACACGUGGGUAACCUGCCUGUAAGACUGGGAUAACUCCGGGAAACCGGAGCUAAUACCGGAUAGUUCCUUGAACCGCAUGGUUCAAGGAUGAAAGACGGUUUCGGCUGUCACUUACAGAUGGACCCGCGGCGCAUUAGCUAGUUGGUGAGGUAACGGCUCACCAAGGCGACGAUGCGUAGCCGACCUGAGAGGGUGAUCGGCCACACUGGGACUGAGACACGGCCCAGACUCCUACGGGAGGCAGCAGUAGGGAAUCUUCCGCAAUGGACGAAAGUCUGACGGAGCAACGCCGCGUGAGUGAUGAAGGUUUUCGGAUCGUAAAGCUCUGUUGUUAGGGAAGAACAAGUGCAAGAGUAACUGCUUGCACCUUGACGGUACCUAACCAGAAAGCCACGGCUAACUACGUGCCAGCAGCCGCGGUAAUACGUAGGUGGCAAGCGUUGUCCGGAAUUAUUGGGCGUAAAGGGCUCGCAGGCGGUUUCUUAAGUCUGAUGUGAAAGCCCCCGGCUCAACCGGGGAGGGUCAUUGGAAACUGGGAAACUUGAGUGCAGAAGAGGAGAGUGGAAUUCCACGUGUAGCGGUGAAAUGCGUAGAGAUGUGGAGGAACACCAGUGGCGAAGGCGACUCUCUGGUCUGUAACUGACGCUGAGGAGCGAAAGCGUGGGGAGCGAACAGGAUUAGAUACCCUGGUAGUCCACGCCGUAAACGAUGAGUGCUAAGUGUUAGGGGGU
Molecule: ribosomal RNA, 796 nt
Filed under: Bacillus pumilus
Lineage: Bacteria; Bacillati; Bacillota; Bacilli; Caryophanales; Bacillaceae
Description: bacterial SSU rRNA
Rfam family: Bacterial small subunit ribosomal RNA
Source: RNAcentral